GACGAACGCUGGCGGCGUGCCUAAUACAUGCAAGUUGAGCGAUGAAGCUUGGUGCUUGCACCAAUUUGAAGAGCAGCGAACGGGUGAGUAACGCGUGGGGAAUCUGCCUUUGAGCGGGGGACAACAUUUGGAAACGAAUGCUAAUACCGCAUAACAACUUUAAACAUAAGUUUUAAGUUUGAAAGAUGCAAUUGCAUCACUCAAAGAUGAUCCCGCGUUGUAUUAGCUAGUUGGUGAGGUAAAGGCUCACCAAGGCGAUGAUACAUAGCCGACCUGAGAGGGUGAUCGGCCACAUUGGGACUGAGACACGGCCCAAACGCCUACGGGAGGCAGCAGAAGGGAAUCUUCGGCAAUGGACGAAAGUCUGACCGAGCAACGCCGCGUGAGUGAAGAAGGUUUUCGGAUCGUAAAACUCUGUUGGUAGAGAAGAACGUUGGUGAGAGUGGAAAGCUCAUCAAGUGACGGUAACUACCCAGAAAGGGACGGCUAACUACGUG
Molecule: ribosomal RNA, 497 nt
Filed under: uncultured bacterium
Lineage: Bacteria
Description: partial 16S ribosomal RNA
Rfam family: Bacterial small subunit ribosomal RNA
Source: RNAcentral